RNAcentral lists this ribosomal RNA (253 nucleotides) under uncultured bacterium. RNAcentral's name for it is "partial 16S ribosomal RNA". It matches the Rfam family "Bacterial small subunit ribosomal RNA", at positions 524 to 776 of the family's 1533-position model. The record is from RNAcentral.
UACGAAGGGGGCUAGCGUUGCUCGGAAUCACUGGGCGUAAAGCGCACGUAGGCGGACUCUUAAGUCGGUGGUGAAAUCCUGGAGCUCAACUCCAGAACUGCCUUCGAUACUGAGAGUCUCGAGUCCGAGAGAGGUGAGUGGAACUGCGAGUGUAGAGGUGAAAUUCGUAGAUAUUCGCAAGAACACCAGUGGCGAUGGCGGCUCACUGGCUCGGUACUGACGCUGAGGUGCGAAAGCGUGGGGAGCAAACAGG